RNAcentral lists this ribosomal RNA (2926 nucleotides) under Bacillus thuringiensis serovar finitimus YBT-020. RNAcentral describes it as "bacterial LSU rRNA". It matches the Rfam family "Bacterial large subunit ribosomal RNA". Lineage: Bacteria; Bacillati; Bacillota; Bacilli; Caryophanales; Bacillaceae. The record is from RNAcentral.
GGUUAAGUUAGAAAGGGCGCACGGUGGAUGCCUUGACACUAGGAGUCGAUGAAGGACGGGACUAACGCCGAUAUGCUUCGGGGAGCUGUAAGUAAGCUUUGAUCCGAAGAUUUCCGAAUGGGGAAACCCACCAUACGUAAUGGUAUGGUAUCCUUAUCUGAAUACAUAGGGUAAGGAAGACAGACCCAGGGAACUGAAACAUCUAAGUACCUGGAGGAAGAGAAAGCAAAUGCGAUUUCCUGAGUAGCGGCGAGCGAAACGGAACAUAGCCCAAACCAAGAGGCUUGCCUCUUGGGGUUGUAGGACAUUCUAUACGGAGUUACAAAGGAACGAGGUAGACGAAGCGACCUGGAAAGGUCCGUCGUAGAGGGUAACAACCCCGUAGUCGAAACUUCGUUCUCUCUUGAAUGUAUCCUGAGUACGGCGGAACACGUGAAAUUCCGUCGGAAUCUGGGAGGACCAUCUCCCAAGGCUAAAUACUCCCUAGUGAUCGAUAGUGAACCAGUACCGUGAGGGAAAGGUGAAAAGCACCCCGGAAGGGGAGUGAAAGAGAUCCUGAAACCGUGUGCCUACAAAUAGUCAGAGCCCGUUAACGGGUGAUGGCGUGCCUUUUGUAGAAUGAACCGGCGAGUUACGAUCCCGUGCAAGGUUAAGCUGAAGAGGCGGAGCCGCAGCGAAAGCGAGUCUGAAUAGGGCGUUUAGUACGUGGUCGUAGACCCGAAACCAGGUGAUCUACCCAUGUCCAGGGUGAAGUUCAGGUAACACUGAAUGGAGGCCCGAACCCACGCACGUUGAAAAGUGCGGGGAUGAGGUGUGGGUAGCGGAGAAAUUCCAAUCGAACCUGGAGAUAGCUGGUUCUCCCCGAAAUAGCUUUAGGGCUAGCCUUAAGUGUAAGAGUCUUGGAGGUAGAGCACUGAUUGGACUAGGGGUCCUCAUCGGAUUACCGAAUUCAGUCAAACUCCGAAUGCCAAUGACUUAUCCUUAGGAGUCAGACUGCGAGUGAUAAGAUCCGUAGUCAAAAGGGAAACAGCCCAGACCGCCAGCUAAGGUCCCAAAGUGUGUAUUAAGUGGAAAAGGAUGUGGAGUUGCUUAGACAACUAGGAUGUUGGCUUAGAAGCAGCCACCAUUUAAAGAGUGCGUAAUAGCUCACUAGUCGAGUGACUCUGCGCCGAAAAUGUACCGGGGCUAAAUACACCACCGAAGCUGCGGAUUGAUACCGAAUGGUAUCAGUGGUAGGGGAGCGUUCUAAGGACAGUGAAGUCAGACCGGAAGGACUGGUGGAGUGCUUAGAAGUGAGAAUGCCGGUAUGAGUAGCGAAAGACGGGUGAGAAUCCCGUCCACCGAAUGCCUAAGGUUUCCUGAGGAAGGCUCGUCCGCUCAGGGUUAGUCAGGACCUAAGCCGAGGCCGACAGGCGUAGGCGAUGGACAACAGGUUGAUAUUCCUGUACCACCUCUUUAUCGUUUGAGCAAUGGAGGGACGCAGAAGGAUAGAAGAAGCGUGCGAUUGGUUGUGCACGUCCAAGCAGUUAGGCUGAUAAGUAGGCAAAUCCGCUUAUCGUGAAGGCUGAGCUGUGAUGGGGAAGCUCCUUAUGGAGCGAAGUCUUUGAUUCCCCGCUGCCAAGAAAAGCUUCUAGCGAGAUAAAAGGUGCCUGUACCGCAAACCGACACAGGUAGGCGAGGAGAGAAUCCUAAGGUGUGCGAGAGAACUCUGGUUAAGGAACUCGGCAAAAUGACCCCGUAACUUCGGGAGAAGGGGUGCUUUCUUAACGGAAAGCCGCAGUGAAUAGGCCCAAGCGACUGUUUAGCAAAAACACAGCUCUCUGCGAAGCCGUAAGGCGAAGUAUAGGGGGUGACACCUGCCCGGUGCUGGAAGGUUAAGGAGAGGGGUUAGCGUAAGCGAAGCUCUGAACUGAAGCCCCAGUAAACGGCGGCCGUAACUAUAACGGUCCUAAGGUAGCGAAAUUCCUUGUCGGGUAAGUUCCGACCCGCACGAAAGGUGUAACGAUUUGGGCACUGUCUCAACCAGAGACUCGGUGAAAUUAUAGUACCUGUGAAGAUGCAGGUUACCCGCGACAGGACGGAAAGACCCCGUGGAGCUUUACUGUAGCCUGAUAUUGAAUUUUGGUACAGUUUGUACAGGAUAGGCGGGAGCCUUUGAAACCGGAGCGCUAGCUUCGGUGGAGGCGCUGGUGGGAUACCGCCCUGACUGUAUUGAAAUUCUAACCUACGGGUCUUAUCGACCCGGGAGACAGUGUCAGGUGGGCAGUUUGACUGGGGCGGUCGCCUCCUAAAGUGUAACGGAGGCGCCCAAAGGUUCCCUCAGAAUGGUUGGAAAUCAUUCGUAGAGUGCAAAGGCAUAAGGGAGCUUGACUGCGAGACCUACAAGUCGAGCAGGGACGAAAGUCGGGCUUAGUGAUCCGGUGGUUCCGCAUGGAAGGGCCAUCGCUCAACGGAUAAAAGCUACCCCGGGGAUAACAGGCUUAUCUCCCCCAAGAGUCCACAUCGACGGGGAGGUUUGGCACCUCGAUGUCGGCUCAUCGCAUCCUGGGGCUGUAGUCGGUCCCAAGGGUUGGGCUGUUCGCCCAUUAAAGCGGUACGCGAGCUGGGUUCAGAACGUCGUGAGACAGUUCGGUCCCUAUCCGUCGUGGGCGUAGGAAAUUUGAGAGGAGCUGUCCUUAGUACGAGAGGACCGGGAUGGACGCACCGCUGGUGUACCAGUUGUUCUGCCAAGGGCAUAGCUGGGUAGCUAUGUGCGGAAGGGAUAAGUGCUGAAAGCAUCUAAGCAUGAAGCCCCCCUCAAGAUGAGAUUUCCCAUAGCGUAAGCUAGUAAGAUCCCUGAAAGAUGAUCAGGUUGAUAGGUUCGAGGUGGAAGCAUGGUGACAUGUGGAGCUGACGAAUACUAAUAGAUCGAGGACUUAACCAUAUA